GACGAACGCUGGCGGCGUGCCUAAUACAUGCAAGUAGAACGCACAGUUUAUACCGUAGCUUGCUACACCAUAAACUGUGAGUUGCGAACGGGUGAGUAACGCGUAGGUAACCUGCCUGGUAGCGGGGGAUAACUAUUGGAAACGAUAGCUAAUACCGCAUAAUAUUGAUUAUUGCAUGAUAAUUGAUUGAAAGAUGCUAUUGCAUCACUACCAGAUGGACCUGCGUUGUAUUAGCUAGUAGGUGAGGUAACGGCUCACCUAGGCGACGAUACAUAGCCGACCUGAGAGGGUGAUCGGCCACACUGGGACUGAGACACGGCCCAGACUCCUACGGGAGGAAGCAGUAGGGAAUCUUCGGCAAUGGACGAAAGUCUGACCGAGCAACGCCGCGUGAGUGAAGAAGGUUGUCGGAUCGUAAAGCUCUGUUGUAAGAGAAGAACGGGUGUGAGAGUGGAAAGUUCACACUGUGACGGUAUCUGACCAGAAAGGGACGGCUAACUACGUG
Molecule: ribosomal RNA, 505 nt
Filed under: uncultured bacterium
Lineage: Bacteria
Description: partial 16S ribosomal RNA
Rfam family: Bacterial small subunit ribosomal RNA
Source: RNAcentral